AUCCAAAGCCGCAACUAAAAUAGCAAAGAUUAAGCCGCCAAUCACUGGUGCUGG
Molecule: small RNA, 54 nt
Filed under: Staphylococcus aureus
Lineage: Bacteria; Bacillati; Bacillota; Bacilli; Caryophanales; Staphylococcaceae
Description: HMPRFS0000_2612
Source: RNAcentral